This is a non-coding RNA of Paramuricea clavata, 303 nucleotides long. The record is from the annotation of a GenBank genome assembly. NCBI's taxonomy places the organism in Eukaryota, Metazoa, Cnidaria, Anthozoa, Malacalcyonacea, Plexauridae.
CUACUAUCCGAUUUCGCACCUGUGGCCUGCGAACGGAUAUUCUCAUGACGGCAUGUAGUAAAACACUGACUACCGGAACACCGGAACACCACCGGAACACCGCCGGAACACCACCGGAACACCACCUAACCCUAACCCCAACCCUAACCCCCAACCCUAACCCUAAUUUUGCAGAAUUGUUUUUACGCUUCUGUUUAAUUUAUUUUUGAAUAUCAAAAAGUCGGUCCCCAAGUGGCCCACACCCCCCUAGAAAUUCCUUAGAUGUGCGCCCCUGCACAUCUUUAACAAAAAAAAGUAUAUUCC